This 497-nucleotide ribosomal RNA is filed under the name uncultured bacterium. RNAcentral describes it as "partial 16S ribosomal RNA". It matches the Rfam family "Bacterial small subunit ribosomal RNA", at positions 28 to 507 of the family's 1533-position model. The record is from RNAcentral.
GACGAACGCUGGCGGCGUGCCUAAUACAUGCAAGUAGAACGCUGAAGAGAGGAGCUUGCUCUUCUUGGAUGAGUUGCGAACGGGUGAGUAACGCGUAGGUAACCUGCCUUGUAGCGGGGGAUAACUAUUGGAAACGAUAGCUAAUACCGCAUAACAAUGGAUGGCACAUGUCAUUUAUUUGAAAGGGGCAAUUGCUCCACUACAAGAUGGACCUGCGUUGUAUUAGCUAGUAGGUGAGGUAAUGGCUCACCUAGGCGACGAUACAUAGCCGACCUGAGAGGGUGAUCGGCCACACUGGGACUGGGACACGGCCCAGACUCCUACGGGAGGCAGCAGUAGGGAAUCUUCGGCAAUGGGGGCAACCCUGACCGAGCAACGCCGCGUGAGUGAAGAAGGUUUUCGGAUCGUAAAGCUCUGUUGUAAGUCAAGAACGGGUGUGAGAGUGGAAAGUUCACACUGUGACGGUAGCUUACCAGAAAGGGACGGCUAACUACGUG